AGACAAGGCCUGGCUCUAUUGUCCAGACUGGAGCGCAGUGGCACAAUCUUGCUCAUUGCAACCUCCGCCUCCUGGGCUCAAGCUAUCUUCCCACCUCAGCCUCCCAAGUGGCUGGGACUACAGGCAUAUGCCACCACACCCAGCUAAUUUUUGUAUUUUUUGUAGAGACAGGGUUUGCCAUGUUGCCCAGGCUGGUCUCACACUCCUAAGCUCAAGCAAUCCACCUGUCUCAGCCUUCCAAAGUACUAGGAUUAUAGGCAUGAACCACCACACCAGGACUCUUUCAGACUUUUUGAUGUAGACAUUAAAUGCUAUGAACUUUUCUCUUAGCACCACUUUUGCUAUGUCCCAGGGGUUUAAUAGAUUGUGUCACUAUUAUCGUUUAGUUCCAAGAAUUUUUUAAAUUUCCAUCUUGAUUUCAUUGUUGACCCAAAGAUUAUUCAAGACCAGAUUAUUUAAUGUCCAUAGUUUCGAGCGUUCCUUUUGGAGUUAAUUUCCAGUUUUAUUCCACUGUGGUCUGAGAGGAUACUUGAUAUAAUUUUCAUUUUCCUAAAUUUAUUGAGACUUGUUUUGUGACCUAUAUGUGGUCUAUCUUGGAGAAUGUUCCAUGUGCUGAUAAAAGAAUGUAUAUUCUGCAGUGGUUUGGAUCCAUUGUUGGGGAGCUAGUGUGGUCUUUUGAGGGUGUUAUAGAACCUAGUUUUGUCAUAUUAGCAAAAUUACUUUUCUGAUUCCUUCUCAUUUGGGUAGACUAUUUCAGUGGAAAAAUCUGGAACUCAAAGCCUGAUGUUCAGAUUUAUUUAUACCACAGAGUGAUCCCUUGAUGUGGUGCUCUCCCCCUUCCCCUAGGGAUAGGGCUUCCUUAGAGCUGGACUGCAGUGAUAAUUACUGCUCUUUUGGGUCUAGCUACCCAGUGGAGCUACCAGGCCCUGGGCUGGUUCUGGGGAAUAUCUGCAAAGAGUCCUGUGAUAGAUUCCUCUUCAGGUCUCCCAGCCAUGGAUAAUAGCACCUGCUCUGGUGGAGGUGACAAGGGAGUGAAGUACACUCUGUGAGAGUCCUUGGUUGCAGAUAUGUUUGGUGGGCUGGCUCUCUCAAAUGCUGGUUAUGCUAGCAGUGAAACUGUCAUGUGGAUAGACGCAGGACCUCUGGUUAGCCAGGAUGUUGCAGGCAGUGGAAUUACCCAGUCUGCCAUUGAUGGGCAUUUAGAUUGGUUCUAUGUCUUUACUAUUGUGAUUAUUGCUGCAGUGAACAUAUGCAUGCAUGUGUCUUUAUGGUAGAGUGAUUUAUAUUCCUUUGGGUAUAUAACCAAUAAUGGGAUUGCUGGGUUAAAUAGUAGUUCUGUUUUAAGUUCUUUGAGAAAUCACCAAACUGCUUUCCACAGUAGCUGAACUAAUUUACAUUCCCACUAGUAUUGUAUAAGUGGUCCCUUUUCUCCACAUCUUUGCCAUCAUCUGUGAUGUUUUUGACUUUUAAAUAAUAGCAUUCUAACUGCUGUGAGAUGGUAUCUCAUUGUGGUUAUUUGCAUUGCUCUAAUGAUUAGUGAUGCUGAGCAUUCUUUUCAUAUGCUUGUUGGCCACCAUAUGUCUUCUUUUGAAAAAUGUAUGUUCAUGUCCUUUGCCCACUUUCUAAUGGGGCUGUUUGUUUUUUGCUUGUUAAUUUAAGUUCCUUAUAGCUUCUGGAUAUUAGACCUUUGACAGAUGCAUAGCUUGCAAAUAUUUUCUCCCAUUCUGUGGGUUGUCUGUUCACUCUGCUGAUAGGUUUUGUUGUUGUUGUUGUUCUUUGCUAUGCUCUUUAAUUAGGUGCCAUUUGUCAAUUUUUGCUUUUGCUGCAAUUGCUUUUGGGGUCUUCGUCGUGAAAUCUUUGCCAGGGCCUGUGUCCAGAAUGGUAUUUCCUAGGUUUUCUAGAGGUUUUAUAGUUUUAGGUUUUACUUUUAAGUCUUUAACCCAUGUUGAGUUGAUUCUUGUAGAUGGUGUAAGGAAGAAGUCCAGCUUCAAUCUUCUGCAUAUGGCUUGCCAGUUAUUCCGGUGCCAUUUAUUGAAUAGGGAGCCCUUUCCCCAUUGCUUUUGUCGACUUUGUUGAGUAUCAGAUGGUUGUAGGUGUACGUUUUUAUUUCUGAGCUCUCUAUUCUGUUCCAUUGGACUGUGUGUCUGUUUUUAUAUCAGUACCAUGCUGUUCUGGUGACUGUAGCCUUAAAGUAUAGUUUGAAGUUGGGUAACAGUGAUGCCUCCAGCUUUGUUCUUUUGCUUAUGAUUGCGUUGGCUAUUCAGGCUCUUUUUUGGUUCCAUAUGAAUUUUAGAAUAGUUUUUUUCUAAUUCUGAGAAGAAUGUCAUUGGUAGUUUGAUAGGGAUAGCACUGAAUCUGUAGAUUGCUUUGGGCAGUAUGACCAUUUAAACAAUAUUGAUUCUUCUUAUCCAUGAGCAUAGAGUAUUUUUCCAUUUGUGUCAUCUCUGAUUUCUUUGAGCAGUGUUGUAAUUCUCGCUGUAGAGAUCUUUCACCUCCCUGAUUAGCUGUAUUCCUAGGUAUUUUGUUUGUGUGUGUGUGUGUGUGUGCGUGUGUGUGUCUGUUCUGAAUGAGAUCAUACUCUUCAUUUGGCACUCAGUUUGGAUACUGUUGGUGUAUAGAAAUGCUACUGAUAUUUGUACAUUGAUUUUGCACCCUGAAACUUUACUGAAGUUGUUUAUAAGAUCUAGGAUCUUUUGGCCAGAUACUAUGGGGUUUUCUAGGUAUAAAAUUAUUUUGUAUUUUGUAUUUUUAUUUAUCGAUUUACUUUUUCUUAUGCUACCUUGUCCAAGAUCUAGUUAUAACAUUAUAUCAUCUGCAAAUAUAGUUUGACUUCUUCUCUUCCUAUUUGGAUGCCUUUUACUUCUUUUUCUUGCCUGAUUGUUCUGGUUAGGAAUUCCAGUACUACGCUGAGUAGGAGCCGUGAGAGUGAGCAUUCUUAUCUUGUUCCAGUUCUCAGGUAGAAUGCUUCUAACUUUUACCCAUACCGUAUGAUGUUGGCUGUGGGUUUGUCAUAGAUGGCUGUUAUUAUUUUGAGAUACGUUCUUUCAGUGCCUAGUUUGUUGAGGAUUUUCAACAUGAAGCAAUGUUGAAUUUUAUCAGAAGUCUUUUCUGCAUCUAUGGAGAUGAUCAUGUGGUUUUUAUUUUUAGUUUUCUUUAUGUGGUCAGGGUGUCCUAUUUCAGAGCCUUUGGGUACUGCUUUGUGAAGAAAGACCUAGUGUUCUCUAUGAGCCAAAAAACCCCCUUCUUUUUCAACUCCCUUCCAGCUUACUCUACCUAUGUCUGUUAACUGUUUUCUUACUCAAUUUGUAUUGUAUUUAUUUAUUUUGUAUACAGAGUGUCACUCUGUCACCCAGGCUGGAGUGCAGUGGUAUGAUCAUAACUCACAACAGCCUGGAACUCCUGGGCUCAAGUGCUCCUCUCACCUCAGCCUCCUGAGUAGCUAGGACUACAGGCACACAUUACCAUGCCCAGCUAAUUUUUUUAUUUUUUAUUUUUGUAGAGAUGGUCUCACCAUCUUCCUCAGGCUGAUCUUGAACUUCUGGACUCAAGCAAUCCUCCCACCUUGACCUCCCAAAGUGCUAGGAUUACAGGCAUGAGCUACUGUGCCCAGCCAAUUUAUAUCAUUUCAUAAAUUUUACUUUACCUACCUUUUGUUAGCUUGGAUUUUCUGGUGUUUUUUUUUCUGUUUUUUUUUUUAGAGUCUCACUCUGUCACCAGGCUGGAGUGCAGUGGCGCAAUCUUGGCUCACUGCAACCUCCGCCUCUUGGGUUCAAGUGAUUCUCCUGCAUCAGCCUCCCAAGUAGCUGGGACUACAGGUGCCUGCCAACAUGCCUGGCUAAUUUUUUGUAUUUUUUUGUAGAGACGGGGUUUCACCAUGUUGGCCAGGAUGGUCUUGAUCUCUUGACCUCGUGAUCCACCCACCUCGGCCUCCCAAAGUGCUGGGAUUACAGGCGUGAGCCACUGCACCCGGCCAGAUUUUCCAGUUCUUAAAAUAACAGUUGUGUUUACUUCCCAAUUCCUUCCAUUUUCCAUACUUGACUAACCUAGCAAAUCUAAAUUGCAAUUAAAUUGGCUUUCAUGACUGCAUUUCAGAAUCUUGUAAUGGAAAUGUUAAUGGCAUGAGCAUUCGUUUAAGUUGGCUAAAGACUCCUUUGCAUGCUAAAUGUGCGUUUGUCAUCCUUCCAUCUCAUCCACCCAUCCAAAAGUCAUUAUUAAGUCUUUUCCCCUCUGGGAUAUACCAAGCAAAUAUAAGACACAGCACCCAGUGGUAAGCAAGCUGUGUUCUCUAACCUAAUGAUUGCCCCUUUGAUGGUGGGUAGAGACCCAGAUUGAAGACUAGUGGUGGUUUGGGCUUAGAGUGAUUCAUCUCCUUAAGAAUCAUCAGUCUUCUUUCCUUAUUACCAUCUCUCCACUUCUACUCUUAACAUUAUUUUUUUCUUUCCUAUUUCUUGAAUACAAUCAUAUAUUAUAAAAACUGAAGAUAGGCAGUACUGAGCUGGAACCUUGACUCAGCUAUUUUCUAUGUGAGUGUUCUUGAGAAUACUUACUGUAUUAGUCCAUUCUCACAUUGCUAUAAAGAAAUACCUGAGACUGGGUAAUUUACAAAGAAAAGAGGUUUAAUCAGCUCAUGAUUCUGCAGGAAGCAUAGUGGCAUCUGCUUCUGGGGAGGCCUCAGGAAACUACAAUCAUGGCGGAAGGUGAAGGGGAAGCAGGCACAUCUUACAUGGCUGGAGCAGGAGCAAAAUAGAGAAUGUUGAGGUGCUACACACUUUUAAACAACUGGAUCUCGUGAGAACACACUAUCACAAGAACAGCUUCAAGAGGAUGGUGCCAAAUCAUUCAUGAGAAAUUGCCCCCUUGAUCCAGUCACCUCCCACCAGGCCCCACCUCCAACACUGGGGAUUACAAUUCAACAUGAGAUUUGGUGGGGACACAGAUCCAAACCAUAUCAUUUACCCUCUCUGAUAUUCAAGAUCCUCAUAUAUAAAAUCGGGAUAAUAGUGUCUGGGCAUUUUAGGACUAGAGAAGAUAUGAAAAAUACCUGAUACUUGAUGUUCUUUACUAAUUUUUAUUGCUGUUAUUAUUGUAUAAUCAUUGUUUCCAUUUUCUCAACAGCAUGAGAGACUUUUUAGAUAGUGCUCAGUGCUCGAUGUUAUGAUAGAGUGAGGUAAAGUAUGGGUAUCAUAGGAAUGGAAUUGGUAGUUAUUAACUAGAGAAUCAUAGGUCAGACAUCUCAAGGACAUCAGAGACCCAAGAAUGCCCCAUACUGCAGAAGAACUCAUGAGAACUUUAAAUAGGACAAAUUUCCUUUAGUUGCCUACUUUGAUUUCUUCCUAGUGAUGGGCGUGCAUGUUUCAAUGUUCUUAGCUAUUCAAAUAUGUGUACAGGUGAAAGCUUUGUUUAAAGUUUUAAACAAAGUGGACCCACUUAAUAUACUCAACAUGUUUUCUAGUUUUGUGCUCACUUUACCAACAUUGGAAGUGUUUUGCCAAAAGGGCAGAAUUCAGCAACAGCUUCGUAGAUAAACUGCCAAGACAGAUUUGAAAUCACAUGCUGAAUAGUGUGGACUAGGUUAAUAAAUAGGGUUUUCCAAAUGUACUAUCACCCCAAACCUCAUCAUUUGGCCCUUUCUAGGGUCCAGAAAUCUUGCUACUACUUCUUACAUUUCAGAAAUCUUACACACAUGCUGUGAUAAUCUUGUCCACCUUUGCCUUAUUUUAACCUAUAUUUUUACCCAUACCAAUAAGAACUACUGAGAGAGAAGGUUUGGUAUAGUUAUUUUACAUGGAUUUAUUUGCACUAUUUGAAUUUCAAAUUAGAAUCACUUUUCUAAAAUCUUUCAAAAAUUGUUCGAGUAUGGAAGAAGUUAUUGGAGUAGCGUUUCCUGUCAGUG
This 5893-nucleotide long non-coding RNA is filed under the name Homo sapiens (human). RNAcentral describes it as "HSALNT0334257". Lineage: Eukaryota; Metazoa; Chordata; Mammalia; Primates; Hominidae. The record is from RNAcentral.